CCUACGGGGGGCUGCAGUGGGGAAUAUUGGACAAUGGGCGAAAGCCUGAUCCAGCCAUGCCGCGUGUGUGAAGAAGGCCUUCGGGUUGUAAAGCACUUUCAGUGGGGAAGAAAGCCUUGGGGCUAAUACCCUCGAGGAAGGACAUCACCCACAGAAGAAGCACCGGCUAACUCCGUGGCCAGCAGCCGCGGUAAUACGGAGGGUGCGAGCGUUAAUCGGAAUUACUGGGCGUAAAGCGCGCGUAGGCGGUCUGAAAAGCCGGUUGUGAAAGCCCCGGGCUCAACCUGGGAACGGCAUCCGGAACUGUCAGGCUAGAGUGCAGGAGAGGAAGGUAGAAUUCCCGGUGUAGCAGUGAAAUGCGUAGAGAUCGGGAGGAAUACCAGUGGCGAAGGCGGCCUUCUGGACUGACACUGACGCUGAGGUGCGAAAGCGUGGGUAGCAAACAGGAUUAGAUACCCGUGUAGUC
This 466-nucleotide ribosomal RNA is filed under the name Vreelandella stevensii. Its description in RNAcentral is "partial 16S ribosomal RNA". It matches the Rfam family "Bacterial small subunit ribosomal RNA", at positions 338 to 795 of the family's 1533-position model. Lineage: Bacteria; Pseudomonadati; Pseudomonadota; Gammaproteobacteria; Oceanospirillales; Halomonadaceae. The record is from RNAcentral.